Rattus norvegicus (Norway rat) is the source of this 2747-nucleotide long non-coding RNA. RefSeq lists it as uncharacterized. The record is from RefSeq and is a predicted model, not a curated record. NCBI's taxonomy places the organism in Eukaryota, Metazoa, Chordata, Mammalia, Rodentia, Muridae.
CUUUCCACAAAUCCAGUCCUACAAAAGAUGAUAGAUGGAAAAUUCCAGUACAAGGCAGGAAACUACACCCAGAAAAAGAAAGAACACAAUCUACUUUUAAAAAACACAAAAAAGAGAUAAAGUAGGUAGCCACAGAAACAUAAUUCGACAUUUAACAAGAAAAAUAAUAGACAAAACCAAUCAUUUGUCCGAUAUCAUUAAACAUCAAAGGACUCAAAUACCUAUAAAACGACAAACACUAGAAGUCAACUGCCCUGGAAUAAAAACACUUUAUUCUUCCUCUGUCUGCAAUGGAGGGGUCAGAGACAUGGCCAUCUGAUGGACCAAAAUCUAGAAUUGACCUUGUGACUGAGGAGUGUCUCAAACAUUCAGCCUCUGCUGUAGUGUACCUGAAACUGAAUCCUUGUGAACAAGAAUCCAUAGAUGAUUCUCACUUUGUUUGUGGCUGACCAGAACUUGUUCCUCAAACCUUAUUGCAUAGCCAAUACAACUCUGACCACCAAAAAAUCUCCAAGAACAAUGGAUUGAGGUCCCUUGGCCAAUGAAUAAAACUUCCAGCCUGGAUCCAAGGCCACUUAUCUAAGAUUCUCACCAGAAAGGCCAAUAUCCCUCACACCCAUACCUGUGCGGCUUAUAGUAAGUUUAAAUAGGGUUUAGAUCCAGUGACUUUGACACAAGAUUUCAGAAUAAAACUCAGAUUGCUGUCAAGUCUGUAGUGGAGGCCUUGGAGAUAAGAAUUUUCUUGAGUUCUCUGAAAAUAUGGAGCCCUGGAGUGCUGGGACCAUAGUCUUCUAUAGAAGGUAAUCAGGAAUAGUCCCUUACUUUCAAACUGGUUUAAGACCUUUCUCCUUUCAAAAACAUUGGUAUUUUUUUCUGCUCAGGAUGAUUAGGCCUUAGAGUUACUCAUUUGACCAAAUGGUCUCUCAGAACCAUCCCUUUUGCUUGGGGCCCAUGGAAUAUUUUACCUCAGACCAUGGAGCAUUGAUCCCUCUGUUGAAGGUUCACUGAAAUCCAAAAGGAGGGAGCAAAUCCUGGAAUCUCAUGCUACUUCCUUGUGUAAGGUCACAUGAUAUGUUGUGAAGUCAUCAGUCUGGUGCUCAUUUCUUUUUGGUUGAAUAUAGUUUUUAGGAGGCAAUCAGGCUUAGGACACCCCCAACUUUUCUUGAAUCAUGGAAUCUAUAUUCAGUCUCUUGCAGAUUCAGCUAAAGAUGUGUAUAUGCUAGACUGUGAAGUACCAUUAGAAGAUGAAGCAAUGUAGGACCUCUUGAGCUAUUUUCAAGGUAAACUGGAGGUUCACUUGGGAUGCAAUGAAGAGCCCCUGACAAGCAUAUUCUUCAAAGCCUCCCAUGGUGUAACUGAAGAUACGAUAUGUGAAGUAGCCCUAGCUUGCCUGCUCAAGGGAGAUUAGAUCACUGUGACUACCUAUGCAGUCUUUCUCUACCUUUAAAGAUCCAAGGAACUGUUCUCACUCCAGUGACCUGUUGUAAGUAAUCUUGAAUCGCAUUGUUGUUGUUAGUAGAUCUAAUCUCUUCGAAUCCCAGAAGACCAUGUGUCCAAAAAAGUUGAUUGAGGAAGUCUUGGGUGUUUCUGUAGUAGGGGCAGGUGUGAUUGAUGAACAGGAAUGCCUUCCCAGACUAGAUCUUGCAGUUCACAUACACCUGAGCCAUUCUGACAGCGUGCAGCUUCCCAGAAAUGAAUGUUCAGUUGAAGAUACUGGUCUGUUUGAGAAUUGCAAUCCCAGUCUAUUCUUAACUAUGCCUUUUAUUUGAAUCCCCAUAGAAAACAUGGAAGAAUGAAGCUUUUACUUUUUCAUGUUUGCACUCACAAUGCUACCAAACCCUCACAUACAUUAGAACCUGCAUACUGAAAAUUUAUCCAUAUACUUAUGACCAGAUGAGACACCAAGCCUUUUGGACUAAUAAUCUAAUGGGUUCUAGGAGUUUACAAAUAGUCAGCCAUUGUUAAAUUAUGUGGUCCGUAGUCUGUGAUCAUUUUGAACAAUCAGAUUCCUCUAUACAGCGAGAUUCAUCCUUUACUAUCUGUUGGGAACACCAACUACUACACCAGGUAUCUAGAGAAGACCUUUUAUGGCAGUUUGUCUCUAGUAAGAGUUUCAGCUAAGUUACAAAUUUCCAAUGGACACAUUCCCGUAGUCUGACUUUCAAAGGAUGCUUUGAUACAGCCCUUCUUAUUUUCUAUAGUUCUUGGCAACAGAAUUAAAAUAUCAAUUGUAAUCUAUCAAUGAAAUGCACCCUAAUUUAUUUGCAUUAGUGCAUCAGAGAGAAGGAUUAUAGGAUGAACAAGAAUUGAAAAACAAGAUGUCCUUCCUUCUGAGGACCAAGACCAGGAAAUCUGAACUACAUAGAAAUCUGAGACAAGUUGUCUGAAGUUUGUUCUUUCCUUCAAUCAUGGAUCUCCUAGUGAAGGAGCUCAGGUCUCAUGAGUUGGCAAAAAUAACUUUAUUGCUGAGCCAGGUCAACUGCUGAAUACCUCUUUCAUGGACCUGAAGAAACUCUGUAUUCAUCCUGCUAUAAUGUGUAUAUAUCUAUGUAUCAUUCAUAGAAUGGACACUUUACUGUUUGUUUGAAAGCAACAGUUUGUCCCUGAAGAGACACUAAUUUCUUCUUUCGCACAUUAUUUCACAGGCUGAUGGUGGGUCUCAUAAGUUUAUUCUGGAAGUUGCUUUACAAUAAUCAUUCUCUGAUCUGGAAGAGACCCUUUUUAAUGUUAUGAGAUCUGUUAGAACC